RNAcentral lists this ribosomal RNA (402 nucleotides) under uncultured bacterium. RNAcentral's name for it is "bacterial SSU rRNA". It matches the Rfam family "Bacterial small subunit ribosomal RNA", at positions 355 to 774 of the family's 1533-position model. The record is from RNAcentral.
UGGGGAAUAUUGGACAAUGGGGGCAACCCUGAUCCAGCAAUACCGCGUGAGUGAAGAAGGCCUUCGGGUUGUAAAGCUCUUUUACCGGGGAAGAUAAUGACGGUACCCGGGGAAUAAGCUCCGGCUAACUUCGUGCCAGCAGCCGCGGUAAUACGUAGGGAGCAAGCGUUGUUCGGAUUUACUGGGCGUAAAGGGCGCGUAGGCGGCGCGGUAAGUCACUUGUGAAAUCUCUGAGCUUAACUCAGAACGGCCAAGUGAUACUGCUGUGCUAGAGUGCGGAAGAGGCAACCGGAAUUCUUGGUGUAGCGGUGAAAUGCGUAGAUAUCAAGAGGAACACCUGAGGCGAAGGCGGGUUGCUGGGCCGACACUGACGCUGAUGCGCGAAAGCCAGGGGAGCAAACG